Bubalus bubalis (water buffalo) is the source of this 105-nucleotide small nuclear RNA. Lineage: Eukaryota; Metazoa; Chordata; Mammalia; Artiodactyla; Bovidae. The record is from RefSeq and is a predicted model, not a curated record.
GUGCUCACUUCAGCAGCACAUAUACUACAACUGGAAUGAUAACAGAGAUUAUUGUGCCCCCUGCACAAGGAUGACACGCAAAUUCGUGAAGCUUUCCAUAUUUUU